This is a non-coding RNA of Parelaphostrongylus tenuis, 72 nucleotides long. Lineage: Eukaryota; Metazoa; Nematoda; Chromadorea; Rhabditida; Metastrongylidae. The record is from the annotation of a GenBank genome assembly.
GCGUCGGUAGUGCGACGGUUAGCAUACGCUCCCUAGAAGAGUAAGAUCUGGGUUCGAAUCCCGGCUGAAGCA